GUCUAUCAAAUAUUUGUGGAGUAUCUUCCACGAUUCAUUUUGCCUCUGAAUCUUAGAAUUUUCGACAAGAAAUAUCAUUUCUUUGCUUUCAUUUUUUCCAUAGGACUUGAUAUCAUCAUUGUCCUUUGCUUUCUAAAUCGAAGCAUAUUUAUCACCCUUUUGAGCUGCUAGAUAAGCUUCUAAUUUCUCAUAUAAUGGAUUGUCUUCUGGAAUAUCAUCUAGAUGAAUCGACGAUGUUAAUGAUGAAGAUUCUCAUUUCUACGACACCUUAGAGUUUAUCAAACUCUUAUUCCCUAUUUGUAUUACCGAGGAAUUAGAGGAGGAUCCGUAUGAAGAUCCUGAAUAUGAUCUAAUUUUUAGGGAUGAUCUUCUCCUUUUACUGGAGGCUGAUCUUCCACCUAAUCUGCCCUAUCCUUUUUCUCUGGCUAUCUUCCAUGGUGGAUUUGUAUGCAUGCUGCAAAGAUUACAAUUAAUCAGAUAUUUCCAGAUCAUACCAGUCAAUAUCUCUAAUCUCUUCUUAAUUGAAGACAAAAAAUUCUUCUUCAACCAUAUCAUGGAUUAUUUGAUCAAUUAUUAGAUUUAAAACAUCUAUGUAUAAUGGAAUUACCUUUAAUAUAGUAAUCAAAGUUUUUUCAGUAAGAAAUAAUGUAUAAAAAUUUAUUUUAACUGAGAUAUUCCCUAGAUAGAAAAUCAGGAAGGGAAUUAUCAAUUUCUUUUUUAUACUGAUUCUCAAAAUCAAAAAGGGCUAAUUAGGAUUGCUACCUUGCAAAUAUUAAAUUUGAAGCAUCAUGUUUAAAAUCUAUAACAAAUAUAUACUUCACAGAUUGAGCAUCAAUUUUUAGCAAAAACUUUUGAUCAUAAAGGUCAUCCUGAAAUUUUAAAACACAUUUAACAAUGGUUAGCAUUUCAUGAGCUACGGUAGUAUAUUUAUUAUGACUAUCUAUCUAUUUACAUGAAUGAAUUCUUAUCAAGUAUUUAGUUUUAUUAUGGGGAUUAAAUUGUUUCAAUAUUCCUCUAUAACCAAUAUUAGAC
This 1032-nucleotide long non-coding RNA is filed under the name Capsicum annuum. RNAcentral describes it as "long non-coding RNA (CANN_LNC018927)". The record is from RNAcentral. Lineage: Eukaryota; Viridiplantae; Streptophyta; Magnoliopsida; Solanales; Solanaceae.